GACGAACGCUGGCGGCGUGCCUAAUACAUGCCAGUCGAGCGAACGGACGAGAAGCUUGCUUCUCUGAUGUUAGCGGCGGACGGGUGAGUAACACGUGGAUAACCUACCUAUAAGACUGGUAUAACUUCGGGAAACCGGAGCUAAUACCGGAUGAUAUUUUGAACCGCAUGGUUCAAAAGUGAAAGACGGUCUUGCUGUCACUUAUAGCUGGAUCCGCGCUGCAUUAGCUAGUUGGUAAGGUAACGGCUUACCAAGGCAACUAUGCAUAGGCGAACUGAGAGGGGGAUCGGCCACACUGGAAGUGGGACGCGGUCCAGGCUCCUACGGGAGGCAGCAGUAGGGAAUCUUCCGCAGUGGGCGAAAGCCUGACGGAGCGACGCCGCGUGAGUGGUGAAGGUCUUCGGAUCGUAAAACUCUGUUAUUAGGGAAGAACAUAUGUGUAAGUAACUGUGCACAUCUUGACGGUACCUAAUCAGAAAGCCACGGCUAACUACGUG
RNAcentral lists this ribosomal RNA (497 nucleotides) under uncultured bacterium. RNAcentral describes it as "partial 16S ribosomal RNA". It matches the Rfam family "Bacterial small subunit ribosomal RNA", at positions 28 to 507 of the family's 1533-position model. The record is from RNAcentral.